This 492-nucleotide ribosomal RNA is filed under the name uncultured bacterium. RNAcentral's name for it is "partial 16S ribosomal RNA". It matches the Rfam family "Bacterial small subunit ribosomal RNA", at positions 29 to 507 of the family's 1533-position model. The record is from RNAcentral.
AAUGAACGCUGGCGGUAGGCCUAACACAUGCAAGUCGAACGGCAGCACAGUAAGAGCUUGCUCUUACGGGUGGCGAGUGGCGGACGGGUGAGGAAUACAUCGGAAUCUACUUUUUCGUGGGGGAUAACGUAGGGAAACUUACGCUAAUACCGCAUACGACCUACGGGUGAAAGCAGGGGAUCUUCGGACCUUGCGCGAUUGAAUGAGCCGAUGUCGGAUUAGCUAGUUGGCGGGGUAAAGGCCCACCAAGGCGACGAUCCGUAGCUGGUCUGAGAGGAUGAUCCGCCACACUGGAACUUAGACACGGUCCCGACUCCUACGGGAGGCCGCAGUGGGGAAUAUUGGACAAUGGGCGCAAGCCUGAUCCAGCCAUACCGCGUGGGUGAAGAAGGCCUUCGGGUUGUAAAGCCCUUUUGUUGGGAAAGAAAAGCAGCAGGUUAAUACCCCGCUGUUCUGACGGUACCCAAAGAAUAAGCACCGGCUAACUUCGUG